Molecule: non-coding RNA, 3220 nt
Organism: Paramuricea clavata
Lineage: Eukaryota; Metazoa; Cnidaria; Anthozoa; Malacalcyonacea; Plexauridae
Source: the annotation of a GenBank genome assembly
UGGUUGAUUGAAAUGCAAAUCAAUUCCAAAUCUGAGUUGGAAUUCCAAUCUCAUCUCUCGACCAAUCAGAGAGAAGCACUGCGCUGUGAUUGACGUGCAUGAGGUCUAGCUUUCCCACACAACACCGCUUCGCCCUGAAUGUUUUCGACGAAAAUAUAUUUAUAUAGUUCUGAGUGAAUAUUUUGACUGAAAAUCGCCUUUUAACACCGCAAUUUGGCAAGAGGAAGACAGCCCCGGUACGGAAUUUAUCCCAGAAGAUUCCCCUUGGCCUUAGGUAAGUGUUCAAAUGACAAAAACCCGAAGAUUUUUGGCGUAUACGUGAAAGGCUUUUGCGAGACGCUUGCUAUUUAUGUAUAAAUAGCUUAUGUUUAUUUGUCGUUUGUAGCCUUUCCUCGUCCGAAAUCUUUGAGUUACUCGCUAGUUUAGAGUGUAAUAAGCACAUCUGAAGUCCGCUGAAGUAAAAUAUAUAAGAUGUUUUAGAGUUAACGAUAUUUAAGCGAAGAAAUUUGUGGUAAUUUUAGUGUAACAUAUCCAAAUUUUUUCGUUUAAAUAUUUUUACGACGUCAGCCGAUAUCCGGCAAAUAAUCAUAUUUUCAAUUACAUAACGCGGCUUAUAUGAUAGUUUUAUAGCAUAGUUUCACAGUAGGGUAAACUUUAUUAUACUAUAAGCAUUAUACGACUUUUACUGAAGAUUUACAGGCAUUUUAUACACCGAGCAGAAUGUAUCCAAAGGGCCGAUAUCGUGUCAACUUGUGUCAAAUUUUUGGCUUCAUUCCGUUCGAUUAAAAUUAGAAUCUUUGGGCUCUUUGUUAGAAAACGUUCGCCGACACGGCAUGUAUACAUAAAAAUUCGUACAGAUUUCUCUUACAUUCCCACAAAGAUAAAGGUUUAAAUGAAAAAUAGAUGGAUUCUAUUUGGGUCAUGAUUUGUGUUUACAGUAUCACUACACAAGCGGCUUGACCCCAUUCAUCUUUUUUAGCUCUUUUAUAUUUGUGGGUUUUUCUGAUUAUCGGACCAUUUAUUCACUAAAAGCGAUGUUGAUUAUUAUAAACUGAUAAAUCAUUGCAUUUUCGGUAUCCUAACAUGCUAUUACUGGUCCAGCAGAGUUAUUGGGAAUGAUAUCAGACAUUACUGUCAAGUCAUAGGUUAAACGUGAAACAUUUCAAGUAAAUUAUAGAUUGGGCCUCAAUGCUGGGAUUUUGCCUUGCAUUUUGUAUUUAGAUGCUUUUGAAAUUUUGUUCAUAAUUGGGAGCUGGUCUGGUCCGGCUUGCCGAGGUCCAGGUUAAGGAAUGACAUCAGCCAGCCUGGUUACAAAUCCAGUCUGGUUACAAGUCCAGUCACAGAGUAUGCCUAAUUAUGUUGCCAGGCUAGCCCCUGUCAUGUUACACAAUUGACAAACUGAACCAACCCAGUUUGUCGGGCCAGACCAGUUUAUGCGAACAGCUUCUAAAACCUAGGUUGGGAAAGUCCUGCAUAGUCCGGAAAGUCGUGCAUAUCCUGUAAUUUCUUCAGUUGGUCUAUAACUAAGUUUCAAUAACACUGAGGUCUGUUUCAAAUGUAGCACUUCUCAUGUGCCGAACGCAUUAGAAACAAUAAAUAAUGAGGCAUUUCAGCUGAUUAUGUAUUGUUUUUAAUGUGUUCAGCACAUCAGAAGCGCGAUGUUUGAAAAUAGUUUCCAUAUUGAAUAGUUUCCACAUAUUGUCGAGACCAAGUUCUCCAGAUAAAAAGUGCCUUUCACCUAUGAGGGUGUGGGUUCAAUUCUCUCCUUGCCCACUUGUGUAAAAAGUGUCUGUAAAUUCUCUGCUGAAAGUCGUGGGUUUUUCCCCAGUUGCUCCAGUUUCCUGACACAGUUAAAGUGGAAGUCAAGUCCGUAAUGUAAACGAACGGUUUGUUUACAUUUUGAACUGCAGUAUUUUUUAAAAUAUGAUGUACUGUCUGAAUAUCUAACACCAUUUUGGUUUGCUAUGCUUCUAAAUGAAUGUGAAAUAGAGUUUAUGUUCAGAAAGAUUCAAAACAUUAGAAAAUUGGGCAAUGUUCACAUUAGAGGUCCUCACGUUGUUAGGACAAUGAAAAUUGAUAUCAUGUUUCUCGUCCACAAUUUUCAAAAGUUUGGAGCGGGAAUUUUUUCAUUUUUCAUUAUUUUUUGUAUUUGAAUUCUGCUUGUCAAUAAUUUCCUUGACCCAGUAAAAACCCCCAUAAAAAUCUGAAGUAAAUUGGUGUAUAAUCAUUUUAAUUUAAUACGUCCUACACUACAGUAUAUUUCUACACAUACCAGGGCUGACAUGAAAAAUAAGAGGCAUUCUGGCGAGUAGUAUCUUUAGAAAGAUACAAUUUGAGUUGCGUUUGCGGAAUGCAGCAAUAAGACUUUGAUCUGGAGAUCAAUUUGGUGUUUUGUUAAGCCUAUUUUUCAAAAAUAAUGCAUACUACCAUUUGCAAGCGACCGCAAAAUCCAAACUUUUUUCACGUUUGUUUACGUUUCAAACGUACACAAUGGGCGGGUCAAACGUGCAUGUUGAAACGUAACAACAAUUAGUUUGAACCGCAAAAUAGUGACGUUUGGGCGAGAUUUGUCAAACGUCACUAUUUCGCGGUUCAAACUAAUUGUUGUUACGUUUCAACAUGCACGUUUGACCCGCCCAUCGUGUAUGUUUGCAACGUAAACAAACGUGAAAAAAGUUUGGUUUUGCGGUUGCUUGCAAAUGGUAGUAAUGAAAAAUUUUCGUGCGGCAGAUAAAUCCCAUGCGGGCGGGGAUGAGAAACGGACUUGACUUCCACUUUAAGAAAGUAAUAUCACAAUUGUUGUAAAAGAUAAAAUAGUCCAGGCUAAGUAUGAAAUUAGGUAAGCGUAAUACUUGAUGUAAAGUGCAUAUAAGUCAUAUCCACAUAAAAAUUUGCACUAUAGAAAUUCUAAUCUAGUGUGAAGACUUAUCAAAGCAUUUUCUAAACCCAGGUGAAAGAUGUCAAACUACAUGCAGCAAGGCGGCCACAUGCAGCAAGGCGGCCACAUGCAAUAUGGUCAGCAAAUGAGCAAAGAAGGACAGAAUGCGAUGUGGUAUGGACAACAACAUGGCUACAAUGUUGACUCGGGUAUCAACAGCGAGCACAACACUGCCCCGCCUUCAAUGCAUGGGGAUGAAGAAAACCUGCUGUCGACACUUGACCAGGAGUUCAGCUCUCAUGGAAUAGCAGAUAUGAACGAACAGUUUACCACCUCCAGAAG